RNAcentral lists this ribosomal RNA (452 nucleotides) under uncultured Novosphingobium sp. RNAcentral describes it as "partial 16S ribosomal RNA". The record is from RNAcentral. Lineage: Bacteria; Pseudomonadati; Pseudomonadota; Alphaproteobacteria; Sphingomonadales; Sphingomonadaceae.
CACGGAGUUAGCCGGAGCUUAUUCUCCAGGUACUGUCAUUAUCAUCCCUGGUAAAAGAGCUUUACAACCCUAAGGCCUUCAUCACUCACGCGGCAUUGUUGGAUCAGGCUUUCGCCCAUUGUCCAAUAUUCCCCACUGCUGCCUCCCGUAGGAGUCUGGGCCGUGUCUCAGUCCCAGUGUGGCUGAUCAUCCUCUCAGACCAGCUAAGGAUCGUCGGCUUGGUAGGCCUUUACCCCACCAACUACCUAAUCCUACGCGGGCUCAUCCUUUGCCGAUAAAUCUUUGGUCUUACGACAUCAUCCGGUAUUAGCAGUCAUUUCUAACUGUUAUUCCGAAGCAAAGGGCAGAUUCCCACGCGUUACGCACCCGUGCGCCACUAGACCCGAAGGUCUCGUUCGACUUGCAUGUGUUAGGCAUGCCGCCAGCGUUCGUUCUGAGCCAGGAUCAACUAC